AGGCCGGUUGCAGCCGCGGCGGCGGGAGUCUCCGCCGCAGUCGAACUGGGCGCCCGAGUGGGUGCCCCGGGAUGCGGGGCUCUGUCCCGCCGCCGCCUGCCUAGCACGGGGAGCCGGGCUGGGCCGGGUCCCGAGGUCUGGCCGGUUUCUCCUAGGCUCCAGGGUGAGCCGAGGGCUUCCCGGUGGUUCUGAAGUCUUGCAGCCCCGCUAAAAGCCGUGCUUGGGAUAGGGCAUCCUCCCUUCCUCGGGCCGCCGAACUCUGCAGCGCCCGGUCGCCUGCCCACUGGACUCUGCUUGCCGCGACGCCCGCAUUUAAGCACAGAUGCCCCCUCCACUAGGAAGGGACAGCUAGGAUUCCGAGGCGACGGCGUGCCGCCUCCUAAUGACAGCAGGAGUUCCCAGGAAUAGGACCUACCCAACGGGCAGGGAACUCAAAAGGUACCUACCGGAUCUCUCCCAGAUGAAUGGAAGCAAGUGGUAUUUCUCACCCUCGCCAUUUCCUUCCUUACCCCUUGUUUAAAAAAAACAAACACCCUGAUCUGAACCCUGGGAUACAGUGUGCUGGAGAGAGAACAGCACUUCACGGUCCUUAUCCUCAGAUGUCCCUGGCCUGGCGAGUCACAAUGAGUUUCUGAUUGAAAGGAUACUCCCUAAGUUCUCAGCAAAUGGAACAGCUCUUUUGGGUUUUGAAAUCUUUUUGUACCUCCCUCUCCCCACCUUGGGUAAGUUUGUUAUGAUUUAAUAACAGCGCCCAAGGGAGUGCAGUAGUUCCUUGGUCGUGCAAAUAUCUGUAAUUUCUUGGACUGUUUUCCCAACCUGCUUCUUCUAGAUGUGUCUGGCCAUGACUGGGAGUUUUAGGGCAUCAUGUGUUGAGAACCCUGUGACUUCGUUCCGGUUUUAUCUUGGCAUCCUAGACUCUCCAAAGCUCAGAGCAGGAGCACACAUCUGGUUCAGCUUGCUCCCUUUACAGAAGAGAAAACUAAGACCCGAAGACAUGAAGUGGCCCAAGAGCCAGAACACAGGUUCCUUGACUCCCGAUUCCUGAGCAAUAAAUAACAGAAACACAGGGUUAGCAAAGUUCAAUUUGGGGUCGAUAGAGGGGGUGGCGGAGAAAGAACGGAUCCAGGAACCCUUCCUCUGUCUGCAGUGAAUCACUGCGUAGGGGGCAGCACCACAGGGCUGUAAAUAGCAGGCUGGCUGGAAUCUGGGAACCGUGAUCCCAGUCUGCCCCUCUCCGCUUCUCACCCCUCUGGCCCAUCCGAAACCCAGGAAUUGGAAAACAAAUCUGCCUCCCAGAGCGGCAAGUGUAAAUGCAAAGCCAGUUUUCAGUAUUUCCUGGGAAUGUGGGGGAGGCGAAAACAGGUAAAACCAAACUUAAAUCACGGUAUAUUGGAGAUCACAAACAUUACAUACAGAUGCAUGCACACACGUGUGCAAAUAGCUGUCCUCUCCCAUUAAGAGACUGGCUGAGUCCCUUCUCUAAAGCAUGGGCACCAACAGCUUUAGGUGUCCAGAGGCAAAUCACAAAGCGGACUGCCCACUGGCUUUUUGGAGAGCUAACUCGUAUUUAACAGGAUUCUCAGGAACUCUACCAAGAGCUUUAAGAGGCUCAUUAUGGUGAAUUAAUUCCUGGAAUGAGGGACCACAUAGUUAUUGGUCCUAUACGAGACCUGUUCUUUAUUUCUGGUUCUGUUUCUACAUAAACGUCAAUAGGAAUUUGGGAAAGUCACCCUCUAAUGGAAUUAAAACAAGAUCAGUAUUACUAGUGGUGGGGACUUGGCCAGAAACUUCGGGAACAUUUAAAAAUUAGAGAUUGCAGGUCUUGUAUGUCACUGAAUAAUCACUGAUUUCUACGCCUGAAACCAAUAUCGCACUGUAUAUUAACUAAAAUUUAAAU
Mustela erminea (ermine) is the source of this 1897-nucleotide long non-coding RNA. RefSeq lists it as uncharacterized. The transcript has 2 exons. The record is from RefSeq and is a predicted model, not a curated record. NCBI's taxonomy places the organism in Eukaryota, Metazoa, Chordata, Mammalia, Carnivora, Mustelidae.